RNAcentral lists this small nuclear RNA (108 nucleotides) under Propithecus coquereli (Coquerel's sifaka). Lineage: Eukaryota; Metazoa; Chordata; Mammalia; Primates; Indriidae. The record is from RNAcentral.
GUGCUCGCUUCGGCAGCACAUAUACUAAAAUUGGAGCGAUACAGAGAAGAUUAGCAUGGCCCUUGCGCAAGGAUGACACGCAAAUAAAAAAAAAAGAGAGAGAAACUU